RNAcentral lists this ribosomal RNA (513 nucleotides) under uncultured bacterium. Its description in RNAcentral is "bacterial SSU rRNA". It matches the Rfam family "Bacterial small subunit ribosomal RNA", at positions 554 to 1070 of the family's 1533-position model. The record is from RNAcentral.
UUGGGUUUAAAGGGAGCGUAGGCGGAUUGUUAAGUCAGCGGUUAAAGGGUGUGGCUCAACCAUACAUUGCCGUUGAAACUGGCGAUCUUGAGUGCAGACAGGGAUGCCGGAAUUCGUGGUGUAGCGGUGAAAUGCUUAGAUAUCACGAAGAACUCCGAUCGCGAAGGCAGGUGUCCGGGCUGCAACUGACGCUGAGGCUCGAAAGUGUGGGUAUCAAACAGGAUUAGAUACCCUGGUAGUCCACACAGUAAACGAUGUAUACUCGCGGUUUGCGAUAGAUUGUAAGCCGCCAAGCGAAAGCAUUAAGUAUACCACCUGGGGAGUACGCCGGCAACGGUGAAACUCAAAGGAAUUGACGGGGGCCCGCACAAGCGGAGGAACAUGUGGUUUAAUUCGAUGCAACGCGAAGAACCUUACCUACUCUUGACAUCCAGAGAACUUUCCAGAGAUGGAUUGGUGCCUUCGGGAACUCUGAGACAGGUGCUGCAUGGCUGUCGUCAGCUCGUGUCGUGA